GGGGNAAUCAAUUUCUGGAGUAGUGCUUUAUGGAGUAGUUCAUGGUGGUGUUGAUUGGGUUUCAUUAAGUAUGGGAAAGUAAAAAUUUUAGACUGUGUAAAUGGUGCAGGUUUUAAUAAAGAAGUAGAAAAUAAAAGAAAAAAAAAUGGGAGAAGGUAGGCCGUGAGAGGAGGGGAGGUUUAUGUUUCUGGAUUUGAAAAGAAGAAGAGGAAUUUUGGUUUUUUUUAAGUGGAGGUGCCAAGGAGUUAGGUUUUAGAAAAUUUAAUAUUUGGAACGCUUUAAUGGAUUGGAUGUAGACAAAAAUGUAAUUAAGUUAAUAUAAUAU
RNAcentral lists this long non-coding RNA (325 nucleotides) under Vigna radiata. RNAcentral describes it as "long non-coding RNA (VRAD_LNC012378)". The record is from RNAcentral. Lineage: Eukaryota; Viridiplantae; Streptophyta; Magnoliopsida; Fabales; Fabaceae.